This 433-nucleotide ribosomal RNA is filed under the name uncultured bacterium. RNAcentral describes it as "bacterial SSU rRNA". It matches the Rfam family "Bacterial small subunit ribosomal RNA", at positions 355 to 786 of the family's 1533-position model. The record is from RNAcentral.
UGAGGAAUAUUGGUCAAUGGGCGGAAGCCUGAACCAGCCAAGUCGCGUGAGGGAAGACGGUCCUAUGGAUUGUAAACCUCUUUUGUCGGGGAGCAAGGAUCCGCACGAGUGCGGAGGCGAGAGUACCCGAAGAAAAAGCAUCGGCUAACUCCGUGCCAGCAGCCGCGGUAAUACGGAGGAUGCGAGCGUUAUCCGGAUUUAUUGGGUUUAAAGGGUGCGCAGGCGGAGGAUCAAGUCAGCGGUAAAAUAGCGGGGCUCAACCCCGUCGAGCCGUUGAAACUGGUUUCCUAGAGUGAGCGAGAAGUAUGCGGAAUGCGUGGUGUAGCGGUGAAAUGCAUAGAUAUCACGCAGAACUCCGAUUGCGAAGGCAGCAUACCGGCGCUCAACUGACGCUCAGGCACGAAAGCGUGGGUAUCGAACAGGAUUAGAUACC